This 199-nucleotide ribosomal RNA is filed under the name Vibrio pelagius. Its description in RNAcentral is "16S ribosomal RNA". It matches the Rfam family "Bacterial small subunit ribosomal RNA", at positions 335 to 526 of the family's 1533-position model. The record is from RNAcentral. Lineage: Bacteria; Pseudomonadati; Pseudomonadota; Gammaproteobacteria; Vibrionales; Vibrionaceae.
ACUCCUACGGGAGGCAGCAGUGGGGAAUAUUGCACAAUGGGCGCAAGCCUGAUGCAGCCAUGCCGCGUGUGUGAAGAAGGCCUUCGGGUUGUAAAGCACUUUCAGUCGUGAGGAAGGUUGUGUCGUUAAUAGCGGCUUGAUUUGACGUUAGCGACAGAAGAAGCACCGGCUAACUCCGUGCCAGCAGCCGCGGUAAUAC